AUAUCCGCAGCUCCUCCAAGCUGCGAUUGUCCCUCAGCGCGGCCGCGAGGGCUGCACCACCCUGAGGCCCAAUGCCUGACUCGGCGAGGCGGGCGAUGCUGGGGUUGGUUUCGAGCAGCUCUCGGAGAUGUUUCAUUUCCUGCAGCUCCCAUUGCAUAAGGUGGAAUUCUAUGUUUCUCAAUGUUGGAUUUGUGAGGAGUUUGAGGAAGCGUGUGAGGCUGUUUUUGGAUAUGUUUAAGUUGAUGGAGUUUGCUGUUUCUUGAAAACAAGAUGAAGGUGGCUCCGAUAGGGUGAAAGAGACAGUGUCGACGUCGAGGCUGCCGGAUUCCAGCCCUUGCGCUGCCCAUUCCAGAUCUUUGAAGUCUGCCAUUUUUUGUGUGGUGUUAUUGCAUUUUUUUUUGGUUUGGUUUUGAGUUUGAUUGAGUUUUAGUUUGUUUGUUGUUCUUGGAUUCUUUACUGGUCAUUCUUUGCUUGACUUUUUAAA
Salvia hispanica is the source of this 484-nucleotide non-coding RNA. NCBI's taxonomy places the organism in Eukaryota, Viridiplantae, Streptophyta, Magnoliopsida, Lamiales, Lamiaceae. The record is from RefSeq and is a predicted model, not a curated record.